RNAcentral lists this long non-coding RNA (913 nucleotides) under Vulpes vulpes (red fox). RNAcentral's name for it is "lncRNA (ENSVVUG00000014071.1)". Lineage: Eukaryota; Metazoa; Chordata; Mammalia; Carnivora; Canidae. The record is from RNAcentral.
AUCCUGAGCAAGUCUAACAAAUAACAACUCAUCCUCUCUGUCACUGAAGAUCAAAUAAUUAGGAAAGAGCAAGAACGCUUGCUGAUAGCGAGUGACUUAUCUGGGAAGGAAUCCAAGAUGUCUGUUGAAAAGAGCCUACCCUAUAAAUGAGGCAGCCAUGAAAGCAUAAUUAGGAAGGAGUGACAUGGUCAUGUCAGGUUUGCAUGUUGGGAAACAGUGAACAACUGAAUAUCCAAGUUUAAAUGUUGGAGAGAUAUAGCAAGUUGGCAGAACAAAACAGGAGAGAAGCCUUGAGCAAUCUUCACACUGCUUGUUUGGCAUCCAGUGGGACCCAUCAAAGGUUCCCUGAAAGCAGUAUUACACACUUCAGAAUUAUACUCUAAAUUGUUGCUAAGAUAUUGCCACUAGCAUUCUGUAUGUGUCAGAGGACAUUGAAGUAAAUCUUAGAAAUCUUAGAAAGAGCAAGAUGAGAAUGGAAUAAGCUGGACAUGUUAACAGAGAGUAGCAUCGUAAAAAUGGAAUGGCAUAAAUCAUGUUUCAUGAAAACUGGCAGGUUUGUGGGACUCAUCUGUCUCUUCACUUACCAGGCUGGGCUCUUUUACUUGUACCAAAUAUGAUAAUAUUCUGUCAAGGCAUAAUCAAGUGGACUAAAAGUAUUUUGGACUAGGCUGGAAUUGUGAUUGGAGAAUUAAUGGUUAAGUGAUCUUUGAGAAGGACAGAUAAAAGCGGUUACGGGAAAAGAGUAAAAAAAAAUGAACUAGUGCUACUGUCACAUUUCUCAAUUUUCCACUUUCUUACAUUAUCCUCCAGAUUGCUGUGUCAAGAGGAUUUUUUUCCCCCUAAAAUAUAAGAUAUUAUAUCAAGAAGUGUUGAAAUUUGUUUAAAUCAACAAGGUUUUAAAGACCAAAUUGAC